RNAcentral lists this ribosomal RNA (482 nucleotides) under uncultured bacterium. RNAcentral describes it as "bacterial SSU rRNA". It matches the Rfam family "Bacterial small subunit ribosomal RNA", at positions 30 to 507 of the family's 1533-position model. The record is from RNAcentral.
AUUGAACGCUGGCGGAAUGCUUUACACAUGCAAGUCGAACGGCAGCACGGGGCAACCUGGUGGCGAGUGGCGAACGGGUGAGUAAUACAUCGGAACGUGCCCAAUCGUGGGGGAUAACGUAGCGAAAGUUACGCUAAUACCGCAUACGAUCUACGGAUGAAAGCGGGGGAUCGCAAGACCUCGCGCGAAUGGAGCGGCCGAUGUCAGAUUAGGUAGUUGGUGGGGUAAAGGCUCACCAAGCCAACGAUCUGUAGCUGGUCUGAGAGGACGACCAGCCACACUGGAACUGAGACACGGUCCAGACUCCUACGGGAGGCAGCAGUGGGGAAUUUUGGACAAUGGGCGCAAGCCUGAUCCAGCCAUUCCGCGUGCAGGAUGAAGGCCUUCGGGUUGUAAACUGCUUUUGUACGGAACGAAACGGUCUGCCCUAAUACGGUGGGCUAAUGACGGUACCGUAAGAAUAAGCACCGGCUAACUACGUG